UGUCCGGAAUUACUGGGCGUAAAGAGCCGUAGGUGGUUUGUCGCGUUGUUCGUGAAAUCUCACGGCUUAACUGUGAGCGUGCGGGCGAUACGGGCAGACUUGAGUACUGCAGGGGAGACUGGAAUUCCUGGUGUAGCGGUGGAAUGCGCAGAUAUCAGGAGGAACACCGGUGGCGAAGGCGGGUCUCUGGGCAGUAACUGACGCUGAGGAGCGAAAGCGUGGGGAGCGAACAGGAUUAGAUACCCUGAUAGUCCACGCCGUAGACGGUGGGUACUAGGUGUGGGUUUCCUUCCUUGGGAUCCGUGCCGUAGCUAACGCAUUAAGUACCCCGCCUGGGGAGUACGGCCGCAAGGCUAAAACUCAAAGAAAUUGACGGGGGCCCGCACAAGCGGCGGAGCAUGUGGAUUAAUUCGAUGCAACGCGAAGAACCUUACCUGGGUUUGACAUGCACAGGACGCCGGCAGAGAUGUCGGUUCCCUUGUGGCCUGUGUGCAGGUGGUGCAUGGCUGUCGUCAGCUCGUGUCGUGAGAUGUUGGGUUAAGUCCCGCAACGAGCGCAACCCUUGUCUCAUGUUGCCAGCGGGUAAUGCCGGGGACUCGUGAGAGACUGCCGGGGUCAACUCGGAGGAAGGUGGGGAUGACGUCAAGUCAUCAUGCCCCUUAUGUCCAGGGCUUCACACAUGCUACAAUGGCCGGUACAAAGGGCUGCGAUGCCGCGAGGUUAAGCGAAUCCUUUUAAAGCCGGUCUCAGUUCGGAUCGGGGUCUGCAACUCGACCCCGUGAAGUCGGAGUCGCUAGUAAUC
RNAcentral lists this ribosomal RNA (802 nucleotides) under uncultured Mycobacterium sp. Its description in RNAcentral is "bacterial SSU rRNA". It matches the Rfam family "Bacterial small subunit ribosomal RNA", at positions 542 to 1343 of the family's 1533-position model. Lineage: Bacteria; Bacillati; Actinomycetota; Actinomycetes; Mycobacteriales; Mycobacteriaceae. The record is from RNAcentral.